This is a long non-coding RNA of Dermochelys coriacea (leatherback sea turtle), 511 nucleotides long. RefSeq lists it as uncharacterized. The record is from RefSeq and is a predicted model, not a curated record. The transcript is spliced from 2 exons. NCBI's taxonomy places the organism in Eukaryota, Metazoa, Chordata, Testudines, Dermochelyidae.
AGCAGGGGCAGGAAUUGACUGGCCGCGGGGGAGGGGCAUCAAGCUACUCACAAGUUUAUUUUGUUGGAUCGUGUGACUUCCAGUAUAACUGAUUUCCUGUCCUGUUUUCAACAAUUCCUUUGCAUUUGAUCCAGCAGUGAGGAUUGCCUUUUGCUGCAUUUAUCUUGGCUGUGAAUCCAGCCCUUAGUGUCCUGUGUUCCAGUCAUUGCUUGUGUGUAGAAGUUGACUCACAGAUAUUCACUAUGUGUAUUAUGUUGUGUCAUCUUACAUUCUUCCCAAGGGCAAAAAUCUUUUGCAAUAAUGGAGGUUUGGGCUGAUGAGCAUCCAAAAGUUCUGCAGCCACUGUUCAAGUCCACAUUCCUGCAUCUGUGUGCAAAACUCACCAAAAUAAAAGCUACACUGAUAAUGGAGAAGCAAAUAUAGAUUGCACUAUGGGGACCUGCAACACCAGAUUCUUAUUGGUCAAUGUCAUAAAUAUCAAGGGAAGGCUAACCACCUUUAAAUCCCUCCU